CUAAACGACGAAUCGCCGGCUUCGUGAUCCCUUGGAUGUUGUCGCGGAGAACCUUCCUGUGCCUCUUGGCUCCUCCCUUUCCCAGUCCCUUUCCUCCCUUUCCUCGUCCAGACAUUUUUUUCUUUGCUUUUUGAAAUAAGAGAGAGGUUUUGAAGAGUGCGAUGUGUGUAGAUCUGAGGGAUGGUGUGAGGUUUUAUAUAUGAGCUAGCAUCUUUGUGUUUUCUGUUUUUUAUUUCUAAGGGAGGAUACGAACCGUUGGAUUGUUUGUUUAAUCUGACGGUUGUAAGUAUCAAUCCGCGUGAUUUUAGUUUAUUGGCUACCGUCUGGGACAGCUAUUAUCAUCGAUCCGUGUGCUUUUCAUUCAUUGGCUAACGUCUGGGGGUCGUUGGAUCUAUUGUUGAUAGAAUCUGUGAACCGUAGAUUUUACGAUAUUUGAUGAGUGGAAACGACGUCGUUAAAGGUUUUAAACCGGGAAGAUGAAUAAAAAGGCGCGGGAAAAAUCAAGACUGCAUCUACCAUUUUAGCUUGAAACAGAGACGAGUAUCAUCAUCUCCAAUAACCAUAAAGAAACACUCCUUUUAUCUCCAGUGAGAUGAAGAAACGCAUAACAAUGGAAUCGUAGUAUAACUUAUCUAGUUUUGUCCUUAGAUCAUUAAAAGCACCCAAAGACCGAAACUUGAAGAAGGAUAUGGAAUCUGAUUAAGUCUUUUUGUGUAGAUGAGGAAAAAUAAAACGCCUUUGUGAAACCAAGCAGAGAUGAACUCGGGAACGGAUGAAGCUAACAUGGUGUCGUCCCAUCAUUACUCAUUAGCUACCAAGAUUGAUCACUGCUCUUUGUGUCUUCGCCAACACACGACAGCGAAUCUGACUUUUCUUCUUCCUGUUUUUUUUUUCCGAGAGUGAGGUAGAUAGAUACGGUCCGGAGUAAACGCCUGCCUUUGGAUUCAGCCGUGGAAAGUUAAUGUUUGGUUAUAAAAUUCAUUUUUAUUUUUCAUUUUGUCGUGCUUUUCAUAAUACGUUUUUUAUUACACAAAUUAAACAACAUUUAUAUAUAUUCUUCAGAGUUUACAGUUGUUUUGCUUCAAAAUGGCAUAUAACGACUAACUUGUACGUACUUACUUCUGCAUUCUAUUUGUGGAAUCUUGAUGAUCCUGAGGCUCUGAGCAGCAAUAGCAGACGUUCCUUGUUGUAGGAACUUUAUAUAUCUUUUUAAAAAAAAUAGAGCUACCUCUUCGUCACAUGUCCUUCAUGCGUAUGUGGUAAAAGGCUACCAUAUAUUUGGAGCAUCCCAUAAUAAUCCGUAUUAUCUUUUCUUAUUUUUUGUAUUUUCUACUUAUUGUUUUACCUGACGUUAGCCCUUGUACAUGUUACUUGAAAAUAGUUUGUAACACGCCAAUUCUGAUGAUUUUUUUGGGGGCGUCACGAAUCACGUUCUCGAGGAAGAUCUUGAGAACGCCGCGAGUCUCCUCGUAGAUCAAACCGCUGAUACGCUUCACACCGCCUCUCCUCGCUAAACGACGAAUCGCCGGCUUCGUGAUCCCUUGGAUGUUGUCGCGGAGAACCUUCCUGUGCCUCUUGGCUCCUCCCUUUCCCAGUCCCUUUCCUCCCUUUCCUCGUCCAGACAUUUUUUUCUUUGCUUUUUGAAAUAAGAGAGAGGUUUUGAAGAGUGCGAUGUGUGUAGAUCUGAGGGAUGGUGUGAGGUUUUAUAUAUGAGCUAGCAUCUUUGUGUUUUCUGUUUUUUAUUUCUAAGGGAGGAUACGAACCGUUGGAUUGUUUGUUUAAUCUGACGGUUGUAAGUAUCAAUCCGCGUGAUUUUAGUUUAUUGGCUACCGUCUGGG
This 1838-nucleotide long non-coding RNA is filed under the name Brassica napus (rape). RNAcentral's name for it is "long non-coding RNA (BNAP_LNC003753)". The record is from RNAcentral. Lineage: Eukaryota; Viridiplantae; Streptophyta; Magnoliopsida; Brassicales; Brassicaceae.